RNAcentral lists this ribosomal RNA (404 nucleotides) under uncultured organism. RNAcentral describes it as "bacterial SSU rRNA". It matches the Rfam family "Bacterial small subunit ribosomal RNA", at positions 45 to 433 of the family's 1533-position model. The record is from RNAcentral.
UGCCUCAGACAUGCAAGUCGAACGCGAAAGUUCCCUUCGGGGAGCAAGUAGAGUGGCGCACGGGUGAGUAACACGUAGGUAAUCUACCUUCGGGAUGGGAAUAACACCGAGAAAUCGGUGCUAAUACCGAAUAAUGCAGCGGCACCUAAUGGUGACAGUUGUUAAAGCGGGGGAUCGCAAGACCUCGCGCCUGAAGAGGAGCCUGCGGCGGAUUAGCUAGUUGGUAGGGUAACGGCUUACCAAGGCGAUGAUCCGUAGCCGGCCUGAGAGGGCGGUCGGCCACACUGACACUGACAUACGGGUCAGACUCCUACGGGAGGCAGCAGUCGGAAAUUUUGGGCAAUGGGCGAAAGCCUGACCCAGCAACGCCGCGUGAAGGAUGAAAUCCCUCGGGAUGUAUCUUC